This 86-nucleotide non-coding RNA is filed under the name Candidatus Kentrum sp. FM. Lineage: Bacteria; Pseudomonadati; Pseudomonadota; Gammaproteobacteria. The record is from RNAcentral.
UUUUAUGGCAGGCCAUGCGGGCAACCUUCGGGUUGGCCGGUUUCCUUGUGUCCCGGUAUUGCUUCCCCGCAUAGCCUGCCUCCCUU